GACGAACGCUGGCGGCGUGCUUAACACAUGCAAGUCGAGCGGUAAGGCUCUUUCGGGGGUACACGAGCGGCGAACGGGUGAGUAACACGUGGGCGACCUGCCCUCAGCUCUGGGAUAAGCCUGGGAAACUGGGUCUAAUACCGGAUAUGACCACAUGUCGCAUGGUGUGUGGUGGAAAGUUUUUCGGCUGGGGAUGGGCCCGCGGCCUAUCAGCUUGUUGGUGGGGUGAUGGCCUACCAAGGCGA
This 245-nucleotide ribosomal RNA is filed under the name uncultured Actinomycetes bacterium. RNAcentral's name for it is "uncultured actinobacterium partial 16S ribosomal RNA". It matches the Rfam family "Bacterial small subunit ribosomal RNA", at positions 28 to 276 of the family's 1533-position model. The record is from RNAcentral. Lineage: Bacteria; Bacillati; Actinomycetota; Actinomycetes.